CCACUGCUGAUGAGUCUAAACCAGGACGAAACAGCUGUCCAGUGU
Molecule: non-coding RNA, 45 nt
Filed under: Echinostoma caproni
Lineage: Eukaryota; Metazoa; Platyhelminthes; Trematoda; Plagiorchiida; Echinostomatidae
Source: RNAcentral